RNAcentral lists this ribosomal RNA (253 nucleotides) under uncultured bacterium. RNAcentral describes it as "partial 16S ribosomal RNA". It matches the Rfam family "Bacterial small subunit ribosomal RNA", at positions 524 to 776 of the family's 1533-position model. The record is from RNAcentral.
UACGUAGGGGGCUAGCGUUGUCCGGAUUUAUUGGGCGUAAAGAGCGUGUAGGCGGCCAGGUAGGUCUGCUGUGAAAACUCGAGGCUCAACCUCGAGACGUCGGCGGAAACCAUCUGGCUAGAGUCCGGAAGAGGAGAGUGGAAUUCCUGGUGUAGCGGUGAAAUGCGCAGAUAUCAGGAAGAACACCCGUGGCGAAGGCGGCUCGCUGGACCGGUUCUGACGCUGAUGCGCGAAAGCGUGGGGAGCAAACGGG